CCUACGGGAGGCAGCAGUAAGGAAUAUUGGUCAAUGGAGGCAACUCUGAACCAGCCAUGCCGCGUGCAGGAAGACUGCCCUAUGGGUUGUAAACUGCUUUUAUCCGGGAAUAAACCUGCUUACGUGUAAGUAGCUGAAUGUACCGGAAGAAUAAGGAUCGGCUAACUCCGUGCCAGCAGCCGCGGUAAUACGGAGGAUCCAAGCGUUAUCCGGAUUUAUUGGGUUUAAAGGGUGCGUAGGCGGCCUGUUAAGUCAGGGGUGAAAGACGGUAGCUCAACUAUCGCAGUGCCCUUGAUACUGAUGGGCUUGAAUGGACUAGAGGUAGGCGGAAUGAGACAAGUAGCGGUGAAAUGCAUAGAUAUGUCUCAGAACACCGAUUGCGAAGGCAGCUUACUAUGGCCUUAUUGACGCUGAGGCACGAAAGCGUGGGGAUCAAACAGGAUUAGAUACCCUGGUAGUCCACGCCCUAAACCGAUGAACACUCGCUGUUGGCGAUACACAGUCAGCGGCUAAGCGAAAGCGUUAAGUGUUCCACCUGGGGAGUACGCCCGCAGGUGAACGUCAAGGAUUGACGG
RNAcentral lists this ribosomal RNA (575 nucleotides) under uncultured bacterium. Its description in RNAcentral is "bacterial SSU rRNA". It matches the Rfam family "Bacterial small subunit ribosomal RNA", at positions 338 to 916 of the family's 1533-position model. The record is from RNAcentral.